This 73-nucleotide transfer RNA is filed under the name Candidatus Coatesiibacteriota bacterium. Its description in RNAcentral is "Candidatus Coatesbacteria bacterium tRNA-Ala". It matches the Rfam family "tRNA". From Rfam's summary of the family: Transfer RNA (tRNA) molecules are approximately 80 nucleotides in length. Their secondary structure includes four short double-helical elements and three loops (D, anti-codon, and T loops). Further hydrogen bonds mediate the characteristic L-shaped molecular structure. tRNAs have two regions of fundamental functional importance: the anti-codon, which is responsible for specific mRNA codon recognition, and the 3' end, to which the tRNAs corresponding amino acid is attached (by aminoacyl-tRNA synthetases). tRNAs cope with the degeneracy of the genetic code in two manners: having more than one tRNA (with a specific anti-codon) for a particular amino acid; and 'wobble' base-pairing, i.e. permitting non-standard base-pairing at the 3rd anti-codon position. Lineage: Bacteria; Candidatus Coatesiibacteriota. The record is from RNAcentral.
GGGGAUGUGGCUCAGCUGGUAGAGCACCGCCCUUGCACGGCGGGUGUCAGCGGUUCGAAUCCGCUCAUCUCCA